AGCAGCCGCGGUAAUUCCAGCUCCAAUAGCGUAUAUUAAAGUUGUUGCAGUUAAAAAGCUCGUAGUUGAAUUUCGGGAUCAAUACGUCGGUCGUGCUUCGGUACGUACUGGCGUAAUUGAUUUCUCCCUUCUGACGAACCAUGAUGUCAUUAACUUGGUGUCAUGGGAAAUCAGGACUGUUACUUUGAAAAAAUUAGAGUGUUUAAAGCAGGCUCACGCUUGAAUACAUUAGCAUGGAAUAAUGAAAUAGGACGUUCGAUCCUAUUUUGUUGGUUUUUAGGAUCAACGUAAUGAUUAAUAGGGAUAGUUGGGGGCAUUAGUAUUCAAUUGUCAGAGGUGAAAUUCUUGGAUUUAUUGAAGACUAACUACUGCGAAAGCAUUUGCCAAGGAUGUUUUCAUUAAUCAAGAACGAAAGUUAGGGGAUCGAAGACGAUCAGAUACCGUCGUAGUCUUAACCAUAAACUAUGCCGACUAGGGAUCGGAUGAUGUUAAUUUUUAAUUGA
This 503-nucleotide ribosomal RNA is filed under the name uncultured Glomus. RNAcentral's name for it is "SSU rRNA". It matches the Rfam family "Eukaryotic small subunit ribosomal RNA", at positions 569 to 1078 of the family's 1831-position model. Lineage: Eukaryota; Fungi; Glomeromycota; Glomeromycetes; Glomerales; Glomeraceae. The record is from RNAcentral.